UGAGCGCUCACGUGUUUGUGUCUAUGUACAAGGUUGCUUACUAAAAUUUCUCUGUAUAGAUGCCGAAACAAAAAUAUAAAAAUACCUGUAGCCUGGCAGUGUGUCCAUCAUACCUGCCAAAACCAGACAAAGGCUGGAGAAGAAGGCUGGUUUUGAGGCGGGAGAUCCAUCAUGGGCAAAAACCUCUCAUUCAAACCAGACCCCUGCUGACAUGGUAGAAGCUAUUACAGGCACAAGUAAGGCCCUUUUGCUUGCAGACCAGACCUAUUCGGAUGAGUCCUCUUUGGAGGUAGAAGGCACCUCAAAGACAAACAUCACCUGC
Molecule: long non-coding RNA, 322 nt
Organism: Cyprinus carpio (common carp)
Lineage: Eukaryota; Metazoa; Chordata; Actinopteri; Cypriniformes; Cyprinidae
Exons: 4
Source: RefSeq, a predicted model, not a curated record